Molecule: long non-coding RNA, 176 nt
Organism: Rhagoletis zephyria (snowberry fruit fly)
Lineage: Eukaryota; Metazoa; Arthropoda; Insecta; Diptera; Tephritidae
Source: RefSeq, a predicted model, not a curated record
UAUUUAAUUAAAAAAAAGUUAAUUACAAUGCCCGUUUUUAUUGUUUCUCGUUUUCAGUGCUUUUUUUUGGGCAUCUUUUGUUGUGUGGCAGCACCGACAUUGUAGUACAAUUGGUUUACAAAGCAAAAAGUGAGGUUGAAGUUGACAUUUUUUGCAACUUAAAAUUCAAUUUUCAU